AUGCCAUCAUCUUGCAAUUAUCUUGCCAUCCAUUGUAUCUCAAUUGCAAAAGAUUUGGAGAGACUCGAGCGUGAGAGUUCAGCUGCUUCAGCAGAGCUCUCAUCAACCAGUUCCUUAGAAAGCAUUCAUGGCUGUCCUCCGGUUAAUGUCUCUCUUGAUUUGGCACACGGAGCAAACAGGACAGAAGAUGGUGGCCAUAUAGUCAUUACAAAUAGAUCUGGGAAUGCUGUAUCGGGUUCAGUAGAGAGUCCUCAUUGCCACCGUUGUCCCACACAAGCAGCAUUCAUUCAUGUCGGCUGCCACUUGACACCCAAGACAUAUAAAGCAAAAUGUCCCACAGAAGCAGACUCCGCAGUCGCUGAAGCAAUCACACAGGCUGGUCUGCCAGUUGGAAUUUUGGGGAGCAUGGACAAAUCCAGGUUGAGUCACGAUGACUGUUGGUGCCUGAGCCAUCUUCAAUUCGAGGUCUCAAAAGCCCUGGUAGCUUAAAAAAGCCUGGAGCAGGAAGUGUCUUGUGGUCUGGAGUUGACUCUCUCUAAGAGUGGAAGCCUAUCCAAAUUCUUGUAGUCAAAUUACGCAAGCUUUACUUUCUGUCUCCCUAAAACAUAAUUUGGGAGAACAGCAUUGAACACAGGAGAAAGUAGGGUUUGUAUAGCUCAAAAACUUCAAAAGUAGGGGCUUUCCAAGGGGUUGAGGAAUUUUGGUCACAUUGGAAGUUGGAAGAACAUUUCAAAAUUAUUUGGAAGAACAACUUAACUUAUGAGGAUACAUAUAGGUCCAAGGUUCAGUCAGGUACAGACCAAGUUGGAUUCCAGGAGGGUUUAAGUUACAGUCAGGUCAAAUCUUAAGACAUGCGAAGUUAGGUUUUAUAGAAAAGAGAAAUGAACUUAUUUUGACCUUGUAACAAGAUGGCUUCUGACCUUAAGAUGGAGUCAGG
RNAcentral lists this long non-coding RNA (937 nucleotides) under Cricetulus griseus (Chinese hamster). RNAcentral describes it as "lncRNA (ENSCGRG00000025841.1)". Lineage: Eukaryota; Metazoa; Chordata; Mammalia; Rodentia; Cricetidae. The record is from RNAcentral.